Long non-coding RNA from Cyprinus carpio (common carp), 465 nucleotides. RefSeq lists it as uncharacterized. NCBI's taxonomy places the organism in Eukaryota, Metazoa, Chordata, Actinopteri, Cypriniformes, Cyprinidae. The record is from RefSeq and is a predicted model, not a curated record.
GCAACAUUUCUGCAAAGUGUGCAGCUGGUUGAAGAUGAUAAGAACAUGUUCUGUAAUAACAUGUAAACACUGUUCAGUUCAGAAGAGACGCUGCUGUGUGUGUUUGACUGCGAGAGCUUCAGUGCUGGACUGAAUAUGGACCCUCUUCUGCUCAGCGAAGAUAUGAUGCUAAAACAGAAUGAAGAGAAAUAAAUGCAGGACAGAUGAGCGUCACAAACCGCAGGAGGAUUAAACAUUAAAAAUGACAAAGAAAGAGGACGAGAGACAAUCUAAUGAACCUGGAGAGAAACAGACACUGAGACGAGUCCGACACAAGAGCAUUAACAGUGGAACACCAAACUUUUGUCAUGAUUCAGACAGACCAGCAGAGACGCUCACAGAUGAGAAAGCUGUGGUUCCUUUCGUCUGAACCGGCAGAAAACUCUUCAACAUGUUCAGUCACUGAAUAAAGUGGUGUAUACUCUU